Non-coding RNA from Chelonoidis abingdonii (Abingdon island giant tortoise), 433 nucleotides. NCBI's taxonomy places the organism in Eukaryota, Metazoa, Chordata, Testudines, Testudinidae. The record is from RefSeq and is a predicted model, not a curated record.
AUGAUAUUUGCCCCUAGGUUUCCUGAUUCUGAGCCCCAGCCAUGGCCUGUCUAUUUGCAUCACACUGAGGAUAAGAUACAGGCUGGAGCCAUGAAGAUUGGAUCUAGAUCACAACCGUUCCCACCCCCCAAAAUUCUUGGAUUUGGGGGAGUGAUUGUAAGUCAGUGAAAUGCAAAAACUAAACAAAUAAGUAGUUCAGGAGAGCCCAACUUCAGAUCUUCAUAAACUGAUUCCAGGAUAGACCGCAAGCAUUGGAUGGACAGGAAGAAAAUUCUGAAUUUCGAGAGCUGCAGAGCAGGGUAAUGAAGAAAGUUCUUCACUGACCAAAGCAAAUCUAUUACUGACUUGACCAGGAAGUCUUAUGAUUAAGUAAGGAACACAUAUGUCAUUGGUGUUGAAUUUUUUUUAUACACAAAAUGCAUAUAGAGAACAU